UCGAUUCCCUACGGGGCGCAGCAGUCGCGAAAACUUCACACUGGGGGCAACCCCGAUGAGGGAAUUCCUAGUGCAUGCAUUUAAUGUAUGCUUUUCUUUAGUUUAGAACGCUAGAGGAAUAAGGGCUGGGUAAGACGGGUGCCAGCCGCCGCGGUAAUACCCGCAGCCCGAGUGGUGGUCGAUAUUAUUGAGUCUAAAACGUUCGUAGCCGGUUCUGUAAAUCCUUGGGUAAAUCGGUAAGCUUAACUUACCGAAUUCCGAGGAGACUGCAGAACUUGGGACCGGGAGAGGCAAGAGGUACUUUUGGGGUAGGGGUAAAAUCCUGUAAUCCUAAAAGGACCACCGGUGGCGAAGGCGUCUUGCUAGAACGGAUCCGACGGUGGGGGACGAAGCCCUGGGGCGCAAACGGGAUUAGAUACCCCGGUAGUCCAGGGUGUAAACGCUGCAGGCUUGGUGUUGGAGACCCUUCGGGGGUGUUCAGUGCCGGAGAGAAGUUGUUAAGCCUGCUACUUGGGGAGUACGUCCGCAAGGAUGAAACUUAAAGGAAUUGGCGGGGGAGCACCGCAACGGGAGGAGCGUGCGGUUUAAUUGGAUUCAACACCGGAAAACUCACCAGGAGCGACGGUUACAUGAGAGUCAGGCUGAUGACCUUACUAGAUUUUCCGAGAAGUGGUGCAUGGC
RNAcentral lists this ribosomal RNA (681 nucleotides) under uncultured archaeon. Its description in RNAcentral is "bacterial SSU rRNA". It matches the Rfam family "Archaeal small subunit ribosomal RNA", at positions 315 to 998 of the family's 1478-position model. The record is from RNAcentral.